UACAGGAGUCUCAAGUACCCAAGGAUACUAGAGUUAAAUGCCAGGCUGCUAUUGACAGCUCGGAGCGGACUAGAAAAAUCUUGGAAGCUUAAAAUGAUUUAUCUGUUUCGGGUGAAUAAGAGAGACACUACUUGUAAAUAGUUAGUAUAUAGAGUAUUUUGUUGGGCAUUCAACUGUGAAUAAUGUCAUGUUAUAUUUAAAUUUUAAUAUACCUUUGUAUAUUGACUGUGUUAAAUAUUUUUUGUAAUUUAAUGUUUCAACUUUUCUUGUUUUGGGGAUCCUAUUUAUCAUGAGUUUUUGUAUUCAAUUUAUUUAGUUUAUAUAAAUAAAUUGAAUCCCCUCCCCCCAGUGUAGAAAAUAUUUUAUCGUGAACCAAAAUUGGAGAAGUUGAAAGUAAUGUCUUUUGUUGUUAAGUAUAAGAUAAGUAUCAAACUUCCUAAAUAUUAUUCGUAAUAUGUUUAUCAUGUUCAAGUGUUGAGCGGGGCUGACUUUUAGUUCCUCUAAACAACCUUGUUAUUAGUGAUCUGCCGCCUAGGAUUGUUUUUUAAGGUGAACUGCUUGUUUACGCUGUUGUCCGAGAGCUGGAAGUAUUUGUCGAGGCGAGCGGAGUUCCCAACCCAAGAGAGUUCUCAGGCAAAAUCCUUGUUGAAUGGUGGACGUUUUUACAACUCUCGCUCAUGGAAGGAUAAACCCCUAGUGAGACUGACACUAUGCCACUUUGGGGGGCAGCAGGAGCAACAGUAAUUUAGUGAACGGCAGGAGUAUUGAGGCUGUCACAUGGUUUUGUAUAAUCAAAAGGAUUUCGACGGAUAUGAUGCUCCUAACUACCGUGGAAUCAUGAAACCUUAUCAUGAAGCAUUUAGAAAUUGCUUCAUCAACAACUGUGUUGGUUUGGUUUGGAAUGGAGCCUCCAAUUUAUGCUACUUGAAGAUAAAAACAGAAGAAGAAACUGGAACCAGAAUGAAUUCAAACAGCAACAGCUAUUUCUGGAAGGCUGUAUGCCAGUAAAAGUCAUCAAACACGCCACCUUCGCAGAAUAAAACUAGCCUGCCAAGCGAUGCUGUGGCCUAUAAAUGCCAUUUCUUCAAAGUCAGGAGUAAUUCAUU
Molecule: RNA transcript, 1106 nt
Organism: Macrobrachium nipponense
Lineage: Eukaryota; Metazoa; Arthropoda; Malacostraca; Decapoda; Palaemonidae
Exons: 3
Source: RefSeq, a predicted model, not a curated record